This is a long non-coding RNA of Mesocricetus auratus (golden hamster), 1977 nucleotides long. RefSeq lists it as uncharacterized. Lineage: Eukaryota; Metazoa; Chordata; Mammalia; Rodentia; Cricetidae. The transcript has 4 exons. The record is from RefSeq and is a predicted model, not a curated record.
GAGAGAGAGAGAGAGAGAGAGAGAGAGAGAUUCAGUAGCCAGCUGUCUUCACUCCACAGAUGGGAAUGUUGCUGGUGAAAACCGCCUUUUGCAAAAGGAUUCACUGCUCUCCAGAGAACCCUUGAAGUAUGCAUCAUUGUUUCAAUGAAGUAUCUUCAUUAUAAAACAUGGGGACUAUAAAAGACUUUAACACUUCUGUGACUUUGCGGACAUUGUUGAAUGCACCUCAGUCUCAGCUUUCUGUCCACAAAACGGGGUUUACAAAUACUACACGUCUAAAGAAAGAGUGUUGAAGAUUAAAUAAAUAUGCAGAACAUGAGUAUGGUCUGAAGAUUGAUCUCAGGACACCAAACUCAACAACAUGGGCCUUUACCCAAGAGACAGCAUGUUGUCUCAAUUUUUAAAGUAUUUUCAGUGAUAUAAAUAAUACAUCAUAAAGGAAAGUUUUACAUGAAUAUAAAAGGUUACUCAAGACUAAAAACUCCAAAACAUAUAACUGUUUUUGCUUAAAACUGCCUGAACUUUCCUCCUCACUAAUGUGUGCAUAGUUGUAAUUAUUAUAUGACUGAUUCACUUUUUGUCUUACUUCAUUUUCAUCUUGCUGAUACACACACACACAUACACACACACACACACACACACACACACAUAACUGGUGUUUCAAGCGAUUCUUUCUUUUCAGUUUUUGUUCCCCAUAACUGUAUGUAAUAGUUCUAAAAAUAAUUAAUUGACUGACUUAAAAAAUACAAAAAAAGGAAAUUUAAAUCUCUUUAAGUUCUACAAUGGAGACAUCUUGAACAAAGGGUAGAAUUUUACUGAAUGUCUAUAAUAGCUUUGGGCUUGCUAUAAUAUAUACAUAUAUUAUAUAAAUAUAUAACAUUAUAUUAUAUAUAUUACACAUUAGAGUACUACGAAGCUGUAAAAUUAUGACCGCAUGAAAUUUGCAGACAAAUGUAUGGAACUAGAAAAAAAUCACCUUGAGUAAGGUGAUUCAGACUCAGAAUGACAAACACAGUAUGUAUUUACUCAUAAGUAAAUGUUAGAUGUAAAGAGAAGGAUAACCAGACUAUAAUCCAGACAAGAUAGAUAACAAGGAGGACCCUAAGAGGGACACAUGGAUCGCUCUGGGAAGAGAAAUUAGAUUAGACCUCUUGGGUAAACUGAGGACAGGAUGCAGUAAGGGAGAGUGGAGGGGGAAAGAAAACAUGCACAUAAGGGAACAGGAUGGUCAAGGGAUGAAGUGGAAGGCGCAAUAAAGAGAUAUCUGAAUAAAGAAGGUGCUAGUCUAAUUCCAAAGAAUCCACAAGGAUGAUCACAGUUAAGACUCCUAGCAACAGUGGAGAAGAUGCCAGAACAGUUCUACACCUAUAAUCAGGUGGGCGAACACCCCAACUAUUAUUAUAGAGCCUUCAUCAAGUAAUCUAUGGAAACAGAUGCAGAAAUCAACAACCAAGAACCAGGCCGAGUUACAGGAAUCCAGUCAAAGAGAGGAAGGAGGAAAUAUAUCAGCAUGUGAGGUCAAAAUGAACCUGGAGAAAUCUACAGACAACUGAACCAGCUGGAGGAAACUGAUGAACUCUAGACCUACAGCUGUGGAGACUCCAGGGAACCAAACUAGUUAGUCUCUCUGUAUAUGGGAGACCUUGUGAAGCUUGGGCUAUCUGAGAGGCCCCUGGCAGUAGGACCACAAUACAAACCUGAUACAUAAGCUAUCUUGUUUGAGGCAGUUUCCUGUGGUGGAACACCAUUCUCAGCCUUAAUGUAUGGGAGAGUACCUUGGCCAUGCCCCAACCUAUUUUGCCAGAUUUUUUUUGACUCCUCAUGAGAACCCUUAUCUAAGAGGAGGAGUGGAUGGGGGGGGCAACUGUGGGGAAAAUGGGAAGACAGAAGAAUGGAUGGGAGGGACAACUGUGGUUGGAAUGCAAAAGAAUAAAUUAUAUAAAAAAUGUUCCCUUCAAAAAUCCCAUUAAUGCUAAU